This 374-nucleotide long non-coding RNA is filed under the name Setaria viridis. RNAcentral describes it as "long non-coding RNA (SVIR_LNC002084)". Lineage: Eukaryota; Viridiplantae; Streptophyta; Magnoliopsida; Poales; Poaceae. The record is from RNAcentral.
GGUGGAGCUGGCGGCGCUUCGGGCGGAAUGGUUAUUUCAAAGCUCACUGAAUAUUUGAUUUGCUCUAUGGAAAUUUGCACUUCCAUCUUGCAUGGCAUUAAAAGGUGGUGCCUAAUAAAUCACAUGAAUAUGUGUGCAGAGUAGUGUUUGUGGAUUUUGCUUCACAAAAAAGGUGAUUUCAUAAUAAAUUACACAAAUGUUAGCACAAAACAAUUCGCAGAGUUUAACCUCUCUUGGGUAGGUUUUCUUUCUUGAAACCCUCUGAACUUAAUCAUCCAAUUUAGAAAACUUUGUAUGUAGUAGUUGCACCUAUAUGAGAUGAGAAGUAGCUUUAAUGAACCUAGCAUAUUUGUGCCUUGUUGCUCAGGGAUCAU